GACGAACGCUGGCGGCGUGCUUAACACAUGCAAGUCGAGCGGUAAGGCCCUCGGGUACGACGAGCGGCGAACGGGUGAGUAACACGUGGGUGACCUGCCUCUAGCGUCUGGGAUAAGGACCGUGGGAAACUGGGUCUAAUACCGGAUAUGACUCCACGGCGCAUGUUGUGGGGUGGAAAGCCUUGUGUGGCUAGAGAUGGGCCCGCGGCCUAUCAGCUU
RNAcentral lists this ribosomal RNA (219 nucleotides) under uncultured bacterium. RNAcentral describes it as "partial 16S ribosomal RNA". It matches the Rfam family "Bacterial small subunit ribosomal RNA", at positions 28 to 247 of the family's 1533-position model. The record is from RNAcentral.